GACGAACGCUGGCGGCGUGCUUAACACAUGCAAGUCGAACGGAAAGGCCCCUUUGGGGGUACUCGAGUGGCGAACGGGUGAGUAACACGUGAGUAACCUGCCCUUGACUUCGGGAUAACUUCAGGAAACUGGGGCUAAUACCGGAUAGGAAUCCUUGCUGCAUGGUGGGGGUUGGAAAGCUUCGGCGGUUUUGGAUGGACUCGCGGCUUAUCAGCUUGUUGGUGGGGUAGUGGCUUACCAAGGCUUUGACGGGUAGCCGGCCUGAGAGGGCGACCGGCCACAUUGGGACUGAGAGACGGCCCAGACUCCUACGGGAGGCAGCGGUGGGGAAUAUUGCACAAUGGGCGGAAGCCUGAUGCAGCAACGCCGCGUGCGGGAUGACGGCCUUCGGGUUGUAAACCGCUUUCAGCAGGGGCGAAGCUUGUGGUGACGGUACCUGCAGAAGAAGCACCGGCUAACUACGUG
RNAcentral lists this ribosomal RNA (465 nucleotides) under uncultured bacterium. RNAcentral's name for it is "partial 16S ribosomal RNA". It matches the Rfam family "Bacterial small subunit ribosomal RNA", at positions 28 to 507 of the family's 1533-position model. The record is from RNAcentral.